UGGGGAAUUUUGGACAAUGGACGCAAGUCUGAUCCAGCCAUGCCGCGUGCGGGAAGAAGGCCUUCGGGUUGUAAACCGCUUUUGUCAGGGAAGAAACGAGUUUCUCUAAUACAGAGACUUAAUGACGGUACCUGAAGAAUAAGCACCGGCUAACUACGUGCCAGCAGCCGCGGUAAUACGUAGGGUGCGAGCGUUAAUCGGAAUUACUGGGCGUAAAGCGUGCGCAGGCGGUUAUGCAAGACAGAUGUGAAAUCCCCGGGCUCAACCUGGGAACUGCAUUUGUGACUGCAUAGCUGGAGUGCGGCAGAGGGGGAUGGAAUUCCGCGUGUAGCAGUGAAAUGCGUAGAUAUGCGGAGGAACACCGAUGGCGAAGGCAAUCCCCUGGACCUGUACUGACGCUCAUGCAUGAAAGCGUGGGGAGCAAACA
Molecule: ribosomal RNA, 427 nt
Filed under: uncultured bacterium
Lineage: Bacteria
Description: bacterial SSU rRNA
Rfam family: Bacterial small subunit ribosomal RNA
Source: RNAcentral